Molecule: long non-coding RNA, 3151 nt
Filed under: Capsicum annuum
Lineage: Eukaryota; Viridiplantae; Streptophyta; Magnoliopsida; Solanales; Solanaceae
Description: long non-coding RNA (CANN_LNC014508)
Source: RNAcentral
CUAAUCAAAAUUUUUGAGUUGCCGGUGACGUUUUUCGGUGGUGGUUGAUUCCAACGAAGCUCGUAGACUCGUUUUGCUGCCCCCUAAAAGGUAAACACACCUUCUUUUUUCUUUUUUUAUUAUUUUAGUUUUUAUUAUCGUUUUUCUCUUCAUCUUUUUUUUUCUUUAUAGUUCGUAGAUAUAAUUUUAUUUGUUGGAAUUGUAUGUUGUAGAUGGCCUUGAAGGCCCUUGGACGUUGUGGUGUCGCUAUUCUAAUUAUUUUCAUGUUCAUAAUAUAAAAAUGAGCUAGCAAUAGUUGUAUGUGUCUUUUUUUACUUUAUUCUUUGAUUACUUUGGAUAAAGUUUCAAUCUUUGCUUAAAAGAAGUAUUUAUGCUUUUUUUAAACUCAUUGUUGUUGGAUACAUUUGUUCUUAGUAUGUAAAGUUAUUUUGUUUAUGUUUAGAAGAAUAGUUAAUGUUGAAUAUUUUACCUUUUCACCUUAUUCUUUGAUUAUUUGAAUAAAGUUUAGAUAUUUACUAGAAAAAACGAUAUUCAUGUCUUGUUUAAACUUAUUGUUGGUAUAUAUAUUUGUUUUUAGCAUGUAAAGUUAUUUCCUUUAUGUUGAAAAGAAUAGAUAAUAUUGAUUGUUUCUCUUUUCUUACUUUAUUCUUUGAUUAUUUUGAAUAAAGUUUAGAUCUUUACUUGAAAAACAAUACUCAUGUCUUGUUUAAACUUAUUGUUGGUAGAUAUGUUUUUUUUUAGCAUGUAAAGUUGUUUAUUUUAUGUUGGAAGAAUAGUUAUUACUAUUUGUUGCGCCUUAAUAAAAAUAGUAAUUAGUUAAGUUAAGAAUUUGUCAUUUGCUUACUAAUUAUUUUAAUGGAUUUUAAAACUCUCAUAUAAGAUAUGAAGUGCUAGCUUUAUUUUUCAUCUAAGAUGUUUAUUCUUCUUUGUUCGCAUGUUGUCUUUUCAAAAUGCUAAGAAAGUUCAAAUUUUUGCCGCUAAAUAAAAUUAUUUGGAUAUUUUUGACUCAUGCAUAGUAUGACUGUGAAACUUUUGCUUUGCAUUUUUUAUUUGUUGACUCUCAUUCUUGUGCAAGUGUGCUUAUUCUUGUCAUUCAAAAAUUGGUUCUUGAUAGUUUCUUUUACUUUGAAAUAUGUCACUUUUAUGCCUUGAACAUAUAUUAAUUUCUUUGUCUUUUCUUUGCAUGCAAAAAAAGAUAUCUCGAGUCCAAAUGGACUCCUCUCCUCCUGUAUUUCGUAAUGGGUAAAUGAGGCUCACCCCUUCGAGUCAAGUUCGAAGUUUAAACCCAAGGUCCAUUACAUGGCGUACGGGUGCUAGAAGAUAGACAAAGAAGGAAAAUGGGUCAAAACCCAUUGAUGAGGUCACUAAAAGACUUGAAAAGUCUCAAUUUUUAUUAUUGUCUUCUUUUUAUUUAUUCAUUUAGUCAUUUAUUUAUUCAUUCAUUUCAACCUCGAACACAAAGUUGUAUUUAAUACAGGUGGAGCAAGACUCGAGCCAAAGGCUCAAAAAAUAGUUUAGGACAGGUGAAAUGGGUUGGAAGCCCAACUAGACUAGGACAGGUCUCGUUGAUUUGGGCCUAAUGGUCUAAAUCCUUUUUACUUUCUCCUCCCUUCCCUUUUUAUGUGUUUAUUUAUUUAUUAUUUUUGUUUAGACUUAGUUAAAAUCCCUACUAAGUUGCCUAAAUCUAUUUUACACAAGUCUUUUUUUGAAAAAAUCAAAUCUCUAUUUCAGCAAAUUAAUCUUUUUGAAGUUAAUCAAAAGACGAUUUUCAAACAGUCCGGAUAACCACAAGUUAGCGGACGUUUUAGGUGCCUAACACCUUCCUAAAACGUUAAUAGGAACCGCUUAUCUAGAAUCUCUAACUUAAAACGAUUUCCCUAUUUUGAAUCGUUUAAAAUGUUUUAUAAAGGUUUCUUAAUUCCUUUUCAAAAAUUAAGUGGCGACUCUCUUCAAAAAGUCAAAAUUUCUCCGCAAAACACUCAUUGUGAUUGAUUAUGAGAAUUACAUCCUCAUAUCAUACUCAUUCAUGAAACAAAUGGUACUACCAUGGCAAUACCUGAAAAAUAUUAGCAACACCUUUUUAUCACAGAAAAUGUGACAUCUUAUAAAACCCUCCCCGAGGGAUGUGCCAGGGAGGAGAUAUAUAUGGAUAUAUAGAGAGAGAGAGAGAUUGUAUAUGGGUUGACGAACCCCUUAUAGAUCCCACAGCAGGAGGCUUGCCUCCAUGGGUGUAUACGGGGAUUGUGCGACGAUCCCAGAGGUUGUGUGACGACCUCGUACAUUAUCAUCACUAUCAUCAUAUACAUUGCACUUGCCUUAUUGUGUUUACGUUGUUCUUUUGUUGUCAUGUUGACUUGUCAUCUAUCUAUUUGUUCUAUAUCUUGACUUGUUAAUGCCUAAUUCUUCUAUCUUCCUUUACUUGUACUUGAUGAUCUUGAUUAUACAUGUUCCUCUUUUGUUCAACUUUUAUGUGAUAUUGUGUAUAUUUGUAUCCCUAUCUAGUUUUUUGUAUUAUGUGUGGAUAUAAUAGAACUUUUAGUACAAGAGAUAUGGGCUACCAUUGUGGGAUAUUUUCUGAUUAUAGGUGACAUGCCCUUAGUGUAUAUUUUUUAUACUUCAUUUACUACUUUGCUUGGUCAGUCUAUGAUACCUGCUGAGUACAAUUGGACCGUAUUCACACCUACUGUGCCUUUUCGAUGUAGGUCCUAUCUCGAGUGCACCUCGGCUUACUUGACUCGGGUGAUUGUUGAAGCUUCCAAGGUAGUGGUUGGAAAUUCAUGAGUUCAAAGUUCACCUCUAUCUCUCUAUAGUAGUUAUGUCUUUAUUAGUAUUUAGAGACAGAUGUUGAUCUUAUGUGGAUAUUUCUAAUGUACUUGACUCAUGGUUUGUAUUAGUAGUUCUUACACUAUUGACACUUGGUUUUGGGAAUAUAUGGUAUUUAGAUAUGUUCUUUCCACAUUGUUAUAAUUACUUGUAUGGUUCAGUUUCAUUCUAGAAGCCUUGCCUUGGGAUAUUUCUAUCUUUUCCUCUUUUUGUAUCAAUUUGGGUGAUAGGUUUACCUGUCAAGGUAGGCCGCGACAAAUGCCAUCAUGGCCCUCGUUUUUGAGUUGUGACAAAAAGACAAGUGAUAGGAUCAUGAAUGUAAAGGAUA